GAAUAAAUUUGGUGGUUAUAUAUGCAAAGAACGAAAAAAACCAUGCAAUGCAGUUGAUUCAAUUGGUUUUGAGAAACUAUGGUUGAACGGUGUUGUUGGGGUUUACAAUUUCAUCUUAUCCACUCUCAUAUAUCCACUCUUCUUAUUUACUUCACUUAUUUAUCUAAUUGCCAUGCAAACUUUCUAGUAUACCCUUAACCCAAUCCCUUGGUGAAAAGAGCCUAUUAUUAAUUACCGGCUUGCUAUCCCUAGCCUCCCCUAGUAACCAAUAAUGCAAUGCGUUCGGAAGCAAAUACAAUUAAUC
Molecule: long non-coding RNA, 304 nt
Filed under: Vigna radiata
Lineage: Eukaryota; Viridiplantae; Streptophyta; Magnoliopsida; Fabales; Fabaceae
Description: long non-coding RNA (VRAD_LNC018368)
Source: RNAcentral